RNAcentral lists this ribosomal RNA (158 nucleotides) under Trebouxia simplex. Its description in RNAcentral is "5.8S ribosomal RNA". It matches the Rfam family "5.8S ribosomal RNA". Rfam says of the family: 5.8S ribosomal RNA (5.8S rRNA) is a component of the large subunit of the eukaryotic ribosome. It is transcribed by RNA polymerase I as part of the 45S precursor that also contains 18S and 28S rRNA. Lineage: Eukaryota; Viridiplantae; Chlorophyta; Trebouxiophyceae; Trebouxiales; Trebouxiaceae. The record is from RNAcentral. RNAcentral also lists the same sequence under 4 other names.
CAACUCUCAACAACGGAUAUCUUGGCUCCCGUAACGAUGAAGAACGCAGCGAAAUGCGAUACGUAGUGUGAAUUGCAGAAUUCCGUGAACCAUCGAAUCUUUGAACGCAAAUUGCGCUCGAGGCUUCGGCCAAGAGCAUGUCUGCCUCAGCGUCGGCU